AUGCACUUGAUUACUUUAUUCACCAAGAUCAUUGGUGUGGUGACCAUCGCUCUCGUUUCCAUAGUUUCCAUCUUGGGCCUGAUCUGCCUAAGCCGAGCGGUGUAUUUUCAGCUGUGGAUCAACAGAAGAGGCUACCAGCGACUUAACUACUUCAACGGGCCGUGGCUGACACGGAUAACACUAGUAUUGGUUGCCUUCUGGUGGGGUAUUGGAGAAGUACUUCGGCUCACUUUCGUGAAUGGAGAGGGGAGGUUCACUUCUGACCAGAUGUGGCAAGCAAAUGUGUGCAAAUUCUAUAUCAUCUCAAAUUUGGGGUUUGCAGAGCCAGGAUUGUUCUUGUUGCUCGCUUUCCUUCUCAGUGCAGCUUUACAGAAGCAAGAGCUUGGUACCUUAAACCAGAAGUGGAAUCAAAAAACCAUACGUGCCAUGUUUAUUAUCUGCCUUCCUUCGUUUGUCUGGGAAGCUUGUGUUGUUUUCAUUGGUCCUCGUGUUGCUUCAGAUGGUGGCCAAGCAUCAAAUCUUGGGAAGUUCUGGUAUUCAGCCUCAACAUUCCACAAUGGCAAUGUCACAUGCACAUACCCACUGUUGAGCAGCAUAUUUCUUGGGGCAUUCUACAUCAUAUUGGCAAUUUAUGUGAUGUUUGUUGGAGGACAGAUGCUGUCUUUGGUGAUCAACAAGGGGCUCCGACGGAGGAUAUACAUGCUAAUAUUUGCCACUAUGAUAUUACUUCCCCGAGCUACACUUCUUGGGCUCUCCAUUGUUGUAUGGCCAGGUGAAACAGCCCAUGAAACUCUCGUAUUUACCUCCUUCCUGGUGCUGAUGCUUGCUGCCAUGGUUGGUAUUGUGAUUUUGGUGUAUUUCCCGGUUGCUGAUGCCUUUGCUAUAGUUGAUCAAGGGAACAUUGAGAUGCAAGCGGAUCAGGAGACUAUCCUAUGA
This 936-nucleotide ribosomal RNA is filed under the name Triticum aestivum (bread wheat). Its description in RNAcentral is "partial small subunit ribosomal RNA". The record is from RNAcentral. Lineage: Eukaryota; Viridiplantae; Streptophyta; Magnoliopsida; Poales; Poaceae.